RNAcentral lists this ribosomal RNA (459 nucleotides) under uncultured bacterium. RNAcentral describes it as "partial 16S ribosomal RNA". It matches the Rfam family "Bacterial small subunit ribosomal RNA", at positions 338 to 795 of the family's 1533-position model. The record is from RNAcentral.
CCUACGGGAGGCAGCAGUGAGGAAUAUUGGUCAAUGGACGAGAGUCUGAACCAGCCAAGUAGCGUGAAGGAUGACUGCCCUAUGGGUUGUAAACUUCUUUUAUAUGGGAAUAAAAUGUUCCACGUGUGGGAUUUUGUAUGUACCAUAUGAAUAAGGAUCGGCUAACUCCGUGCCAGCAGCCGCGGUAAUACGGAGGAUCCGAGCGUUAUCCGGAUUUAUUGGGUUUAAAGGGAGCGUAGGUGGAUUGUUAAGUCAGUUGUGAAAGUUUGCGGCUCAACCGUAAAAUUGCAGUUGAAACUGGCAGUCUUGAGUACAGUAGAGGUGGGCGGAAUUCGUGGUGUAGCGGUGAAAUGCUUAGAUAUCACGAAGAACUCCGAUGGCGAAGGCAGUUCACUGGACUGCAACUGACACUGAGGCUCGAAAGUGUGGGUAUCAAACAGGAUUAGAUACCCCUUAGUC